UCUAGCCUGUGGGUGUGAACGCACCUUUGCCCCCCCCCGCCGCCGCCGCCCUUCCAAACCGAUCUGCACCUCAACCCACUAGCCCGGCUCCGGCUCCACCCGCGCCCGGGGCUGUGGCCGGCCGGCGGGGAGCGGCCCGGCCGUUACCAAUCCCCUCCCCGGCCCUGCCCCGCGAGCCGCUGCCGGGCCAUGGCCGCCGAGCGCGGGCCCGGCCGCAGGAAGCCGUGUCCGCCCCGCAGCGCCCUCCGGAAGGCGGCCCGGAGCCCCGGCCCCGGCGUUCCGCUUGUAGAUUACACAUCCCAAAUGCCCCUCCGUCACACCCCUUCUGGGACCACUGUGCAUCCCCUGCAUUUGGCCUAGAGGUGUACAGGGGAGAUAUCAGGCUGGACCCAUCCCAGCAGCUGGUGGGGCACUGGGCCUCCAUUAACUUGGCUUCCGGUGUCGCCUCCCAGCUGCCCCCCCAAGAAAGCAUGGAGUCCUCCCAGGAGGACAUUGCAGAAGCCAGGCCGACAGCUGCCAACCUGGAGCAGAUCCUACCCCCGGAGGUGCCUUCAGCUGAGACCUUUAGCUGCGACCUAGCACCCUGCCCUCACCCAUCCCUGGAGCACCAGGCAGGCCAGCUGGGAAUGCUGUCCGGGGAAUAUCUGCAGAUGUGUUUAAGCAGCAUGGGAGAGUCGUCUUUGCACAGCAACCUGGCGUCUGCCUUGCUACCUGCAGUACCUUCCUCAGACGUUCCUUUGCUACCAGCCAGUGCGCCCCCAUCUCCUGGGGCCUCCUGCAUGGAAACCAACGCGGAAGUGGAUCCCGAGACUGGGGAGUGGGCACUGGCCUAACCCUGUCCAUCCCGCCCCUUUUCAGAGGACUGAUCUCUUCCUAUGGCCGCUCACACUUCAGACCCGCUUCUCUCCUCCCUGCCACCACGUCCUUCCGAGCUGGAGCAGCGACCCUCUGUUCAGCGUCCCAGCGAUACUCCCUACGUCAGGGAUCUCAAACUCAAAUCACCCCAAGGGCCACAUGAGGACUAGUACAUUGGCCCGAGGGCUGCAUCACUGACACCUUUCCAUAUAAAGAUACAAAAGCCUCCCCCC
Molecule: long non-coding RNA, 1088 nt
Filed under: Chrysemys picta bellii (western painted turtle)
Lineage: Eukaryota; Metazoa; Chordata; Testudines; Emydidae
Description: lncRNA (ENSCPBG00000025857.1)
Source: RNAcentral